This 315-nucleotide ribosomal RNA is filed under the name Triticum aestivum (bread wheat). RNAcentral's name for it is "partial small subunit ribosomal RNA". The record is from RNAcentral. Lineage: Eukaryota; Viridiplantae; Streptophyta; Magnoliopsida; Poales; Poaceae.
AUGUGUUUUCUUAGGACCACUCUAAUUUUUGCACUACGAUGUGGGUUCGCAGCAGGGCAGAGCAGUCAUAUAGUCAUCGGUGUCAUAGGUGUUCAUCGGCGUCAGGUUACGGUGACCAUUGGCAUGCUUCUUGAUGCACUACGAUGUGGGUUCGCAGCAGGGCAGAGCAGUCAUAUAGUCAUCGGUGUCAUAGGUGUUCAUCGGCGUCAGGUUACGGUGACCAUUGGCAUGCUUCUUGAUGCGGUCUGCAUCUCCUCCCACCACGACGGUCGGCAACCAUGUCUUCACCGCCGGAGCCCCUCUCCACCUAUUUAG